CAAGAACAGUAAUCAACACUGCAGUCGUUGAUGACCACACAGAGUUUAUACGCUACAUGCUGGAGGAAAACCUGGCUAUUCUAAACUUCAUCGACCAAGAUAUAUUUUCUAAAAACACACACCAUUGUAAAUAUCACCAGCCAGAAACAGCAUAUCUUGCUUUGGAAAAUAAUGAGAAGAAAAUGAAUGGGUCGACUCAAAGGACAGAGAAUAAUAUUGUACAAGAAAAUACCGCUUGGAAUAAUUUGAUCAGCCGAAUAAAUCCA
This is a long non-coding RNA of Physella acuta, 266 nucleotides long. RefSeq lists it as uncharacterized. The record is from RefSeq and is a predicted model, not a curated record. NCBI's taxonomy places the organism in Eukaryota, Metazoa, Mollusca, Gastropoda, Physidae.